ACCAUGCAGUCGAGCGGUAGCAGGAGGAAGCUGGCUUUCUCCGGUGACGAGCGGCGGGCGGGUGAGUUGUGUGUGGGGCUGUGCGUGAUGGGGGGGGAUAACUAGUGGAAACGGUAGCUAAUACCGCAUAACGUCACGAGACCAAUGUGGGGGAUCUUCGGGCCUCGUGCUCUCAUAUGAACCCAUAUGGUUUUAGCUAGUGUGUGAGGUAGUGGCUCCCCUGCGCCAAUAUCCCUAUGUGGUCUGAGAGGGUGACCACCCACUGUGGAUGUGACACACGGCCCACACUCCUACGGGGGGCAACUGUGGGGAAUAUUGCACAGUGGGCGCACGCGUGAUGCACCCGUGCCGCGUGUAUGAAAAACGCCUUCGGUUUGUAAAGUUUUUUCAAUAGGGAAGAGGGUGUGCGUGUUAAUAACACGUGCUUUUGAUUUUCCCUACAAAAAAAACCCCGGAUAUCUCCGUGCCAGCACCCGCGAAUAUACAGAGGGUGCACGCUAUACUCGGAUUUACUGGGCAUAACGCACACGCGCGCUGUGUGUUGAGUUGGAUGUGAUCUCCCCGGUCUUCAUGUGGACUGUGCAUACGACAGUGACACUCUAGACUCUCAGAGAGAGAGGUAGAUUUCCGUGUGUCGCGGAAAAUGCAUAGAUAUCUGGAAAAUACCGGUGGCGAGCGGGUCUCGUGCAAAACACUGACUCUCGUGUGAAAAGCGUGGAGAGCACACGAGUAUAUAUACUGUGAUACUCCACGCUGUAAACGAUGUCGAUUUGGAGGUUGUGCCCUUGAGGCGUGGCUUCCGAAGCUAACGCGUUAAAUCGACCGCCUGGGGAGUACGGCCGCAAGGUUAAAACUCAAAUGAAUUGACGGGGGCCCGCACAAGCGGUGGAGCAUGUGGUUUAAUUCGAUGCAACGCGAAGAACCUUACCUACUCUUGACAUCCAGCGAAUCCUGUAGAGAUACGGGAGUGCCUUCGGGAACGCUGAGACAGGUGCUGCAUGGCUGUCGUCAGCUCGUGUUGUGAAAUGUUGGGUUAAGUCCCGCAACGAGCGCAACCCUUAUCCUUUGUUGCCAGCGGUUCGGCCGGGAACUCAAAGGAGACUGCCAGUGAUAAACUGGAGGAAGGUGGGGAUGACGUCAAGUCAUCAUGGCCCUUACGAGUAGGGCUACACACGUGCUACAAUGGCGUAUACAAAGAGAAGCGACCUCGCGAGAGCAAGCGGACCUCAUAAAGUACGUCGUAGUCCGGAUUGGAGUCUGCAACUCGACUCCAUGAAGUCGGAAUCGCUAGUAAUCGUGGAUCAGAAUGCCACGGUGAAUACGUUCCCGGGCCUUGUACACACCGCCCGUCACACCAUGGGAGUGGGUUGCAAAAGAAGUAGGUAGCUUAACCUUCGGGAGGGCGCUACCACUU
Molecule: ribosomal RNA, 1414 nt
Filed under: Edwardsiella tarda
Lineage: Bacteria; Pseudomonadati; Pseudomonadota; Gammaproteobacteria; Enterobacterales; Hafniaceae
Description: bacterial SSU rRNA
Rfam family: Bacterial small subunit ribosomal RNA
Source: RNAcentral